GGGAUGUAGCUCAGUGGUAGGGCGUCUGCUUGGCAUGCAGAAGGUCCCAGACUCCACCCCUGGCAUCUGCA
Molecule: non-coding RNA, 71 nt
Organism: Podarcis lilfordi (Lilford's wall lizard)
Lineage: Eukaryota; Metazoa; Chordata; Lepidosauria; Squamata; Lacertidae
Source: the annotation of a GenBank genome assembly